This 354-nucleotide RNase P RNA is filed under the name Deltaproteobacteria bacterium TMED58. Its description in RNAcentral is "RNase P RNA component class A". It matches the Rfam family "Bacterial RNase P class A". From Rfam's summary of the family: Ribonuclease P (RNase P) is a ubiquitous endoribonuclease, found in archaea, bacteria and eukarya as well as chloroplasts and mitochondria. Its best characterised activity is the generation of mature 5'-ends of tRNAs by cleaving the 5'-leader elements of precursor-tRNAs. Lineage: Bacteria; Deltaproteobacteria. The record is from RNAcentral.
GGAGUGGAUUGAGUGAUCGCUUGUAUUUUACAUACAAGAGGAAAGUCCGAACUCCUAAGGGAAUUGAUGCUGGGUAACGCCCAGAUGUCGAAAGGCAAUGGAAAGUGCCACAGAAAAUAACCGCCAUUAAUAAACACGUGAUAUUAACGGUAAGGGUGAAAAGGUGGUGUAAGAGACCACCGCAGUUUUGGUAACAAAUUCUGGCUAGGUAAACCCCAUCAGGAGAAAGACCAUGUAUAGAAGCUGGUAUCCCUUCCAAAUGCUUCGGGGUAGGUCGCUAAAGGUAAUAAGUAAUUAUUGCCUUAGAUAGAUGAUCACAUAGAACAGAAUUCGGCUUACUAAUCCACUCACUUA